RNAcentral lists this ribosomal RNA (605 nucleotides) under uncultured Actinobacteridae bacterium. RNAcentral's name for it is "bacterial SSU rRNA". It matches the Rfam family "Bacterial small subunit ribosomal RNA", at positions 252 to 866 of the family's 1533-position model. Lineage: Bacteria; Bacillati; Actinomycetota; Actinomycetes. The record is from RNAcentral.
GUGAGGUAACGGCUCACCAAGGCGACGACGGGUAGCCGGCCUGAGAGGGUGACCGGCCACACUGGGACUGAGACACGGCCCAGACUCCUACGGGAGGCAGCAGUGGGGAAUAUUGCACAAUGGGCGCAAGCCUGAUGCAGCGACGCCGUGUGAGGGAUGACGGCCUUCGGGUUGUAAACCUCUGUUAGCAGGGAAGAAGAGAGAUUGACGGUACCUGCAGAGAAAGCGCCGGCUAACUACGUGCCAGCAGCCGCGGUAAUACGUAGGGCGCGAGCGUUGUCCGGAAUUAUUGGGCGUAAAGAGCUUGUAGGCGGUUUGUCGCGUCUGCUGUGAAAGGCCGGAGCUUAACUCCGUGUAUUGCAGUGGGUACGGGCAGACUAGAGUGCAGUAGGGGAGACUGGAGUUCCUGGUGUAGCGGUGGAAUGCGCAGAUAUCAGGAGGAACACCGAUGGCGAAGGCAGGUCUCUGGGCUGUAACUGACGCUGAGAAGCGAAAGCAUGGGGAGCGAACAGGAUUAGAUACCCUGGUAGUCCAUGCCGUAAACGUUGGGCACUAGGUGUGGGGGACAUUCCACGUUUUCCGCGCCGUAGCUAACGCAUUAAGUG